Long non-coding RNA from Oncorhynchus nerka (sockeye salmon), 1676 nucleotides. RefSeq lists it as uncharacterized. The transcript has 2 exons. The record is from RefSeq and is a predicted model, not a curated record. Lineage: Eukaryota; Metazoa; Chordata; Actinopteri; Salmoniformes; Salmonidae.
AAUCAUUUUCAGAUUACAAAAAUAAUUUGCGAAAGUCAACUUUUGAAAAACGUGUAUGUUAUUCAAAUUAAAAGCCCAAUGAUGUGAUCUGAGCAUGAUUCCGCGGGCUGUAUUGAAUCGUUGGAAGUUUGUGUAAUGAUUCAACUUCCACCGUUUGUGGGACAUUUAUUUUGAAGGCACAUAUAGAUAACUGCACAAGGAUAGACAGGGACUGACAGGCUGACACACAAGUCACAGUUACAAAUAGUAGCUAGCUAGUAAAUGAGUUAAAAGAAAACAAAAGUAGACGAUGAAUGUAGGGUGUUCCAGCAAGAGUGGAUAUCAAUAGAUUUUUUUUAGGUAUCAGGGAAAGCUGUGUGCUUAGUGUGCAAAGAGAGCAUUGCUGUCUUGAAAGAAUAUAACUUGUCCCGACACUUCCAGGCGAAGCAUGCAGAGAAAUAUAGGAAUAUGUCUUCUGAGCAGAGGGCAAGUGCAUCGAAAGAGUUGCCUUCUCAGUUGCAAAAGCAGCAAGAGCGUUUCACAAAACUGCAUUCAGAAAACUAUGGAGUUACGAGAGCUAGUCCCACAAAAUUGCUAAACAUGGCAAGCCAUUCGCUGAGGUCGAAUACAUUCAAUGUUUAAUUGCCUCGGCAGCAAUGCUUUUCCCCGGCAAGAAUGAGUUGUUUGAAAGUGUUUCCCUGUCACGACGAACAGUAACGCGGCGUGUUGAGGACAUCGCAGAGAAUAUAGAACAGUUGAAAGACGAGGUAAAGGAUAUCACCUAUUUCUCCUUGGCCCUGGAUGAGAGCAGUGAUGCGUGUGACACGGAGCAGUUGUUGAUUUCCCAGACUUUGAAAUUACAGAGGAGCUUGCUUCAAUGCAGCCAAUGAAGAGCACAACCACAGGGAAAUAUUUAUUGGAGGAGGUUAAUAAGUGUGUGGCAAAGCUGUGACUGAGUUUUGAAAAGUUAUCCAGUGUGACCACUGAUUGGUGCCCAAGCUUGACAGGAAAAAACGUUGGCCUUUUGAAAAGGAUACAAAAUCGGAAAAUUAUCUUAUUGCAUUGCGUUAUCAGGAGGUGCUGUAAAUGUGUUCUGAAAAUGAGCCAUGUUGUGGAUACAGUAACUGAAGUGGUAAACUUCAUAAGAGCAAAAUCUUUAAACCACAGGCAGUUUGUCUGUGGGAAGAGAGUCGGUCAUGCAGAUCUCCCCUACCACACAAACGUGAGAUGGCUGAGUUUGGAGGUGCUUACAAUGGUGUGGGACCUGAAGUCGGAGAUUGCUGAGUUUUUGCAAAUGAAAGGAAAAUAUGUGGAUAUCUCUCAACUGCGAGAUAAAGAAUGGUUGGCUGAUUUUGCCUUCACCUUGGCCCUCAUGAAUUAAUUAAAUUCCAAACUACAAGGCAAGGGCCUUUUUGCACAUCAGAUGUACAGCCUUGUCAAAGUCUUCAAGGGAAAAUUUCUCCUCCUGACCAGCCAAGUAGAAGCCAACGAUCUCACCCACCUUCUGACACUUCUAGUCUGUUCCCUAUCAGAUGACCGGCUGGAGAAGUAUACAUCGCUGCUUCGUGCUUUGAAUGUUCUGCCCAUUCUGCCUGCCCUGACCUCGAGCUUGCCUGCCGUCCUGUACCUGCCUGACUCUGACCUGAUCACGAAUCCUUGCCUGCCCCAUGUUUAUAAUAAAUAAUCUGAGAACUACA